RNAcentral lists this long non-coding RNA (201 nucleotides) under Lathyrus oleraceus (garden pea). RNAcentral's name for it is "Pisum sativum (pea) long non-coding RNA (PSAT_LNC033978)". Lineage: Eukaryota; Viridiplantae; Streptophyta; Magnoliopsida; Fabales; Fabaceae. The record is from RNAcentral.
UUGGGUUACCUUACAACAAGACCUUUUGUUUCUCGCAUUAUCUCCCUUGUAAUUUUCUUGUAUCCCUCUCCCCAUUUUGGUGUAAUUUUGCUUCCAUUUCUUUUGUUAUUGCUUAUUAGCCAACCUUAGGAGCUAGGAUCGUCACCAUUUUUUCUUAAACAAAAAAUAAACCAUUGAUCCAACGUCAAAUGACAUUUUCUC